This is a long non-coding RNA of Stegastes partitus (bicolor damselfish), 339 nucleotides long. RefSeq lists it as uncharacterized. The record is from RefSeq and is a predicted model, not a curated record. The transcript is spliced from 2 exons. Lineage: Eukaryota; Metazoa; Chordata; Actinopteri; Pomacentridae.
CCUUAGUAUAUACAGUGUGUUUUAUACACACAUGCUGUACCUAAAUACAUUUUCUUUCAUUCAUAGGGUCUAAAGGGUCUCUGAGCAGCGGUGACUCUGGUGUUGUUGCCAAUGGCAAGGACAGCCCAGACCUUGAAGAAACGGUUCCACUAAACCAGCCCUGAAGUUUCUCCAAGUACCACCAUGUCCAUCAGAGGAACAUAAAGACUCACAGGAACCAGAUUUACCAAUUCAACAAAUACAUUGAUCACUGGGUGGAGGAGAGGAGAAUUUAAAAAGUCCCAACAGCUUGCAAAACUGAUCGAGCAGCUAUAAAAUGUGCUACAAUGGGUUAAAAAA